CGAUUAACACCAAACCAUCAUGUUUAGUAAUUUGUAAUUAUCGUUCAUCUUAGAAACAGAUGUUAUGCACAUUAAAUUUUAACAUUAUCUAAAUACGAAUAAUUUAGACUAGUAGUCCUCAAAGUAUGGUGCGCACACUCUGGGUGCAUAAGAAAUUUUUAGGGAUAUGCGUUUAUUUUUUUUAUUUUUUGCUCUUAGAGUUUUCCUUCUAGUAAUUUUAUCCCAUAACCUGGUAAUGAUAUCCUCGUUAUAUCCAUUACUAACUGCUUGUUCCUUAAUCCAUUCAAGCUCUUCAUUCAUACUAGCUGUUGUGCAAUGGAUCAUAAUUCUCUGUAGGAAUCCCACCUCCUUUCUGGGUGUAUAUGAAAUCCCAGCUCUGGAUGGUGAUUUCAAGCAGGAUAUUGAAUGUAUGGGAUGUGCUGCAGGAUCUCUUGGGAGGGGAGUUCAGGAGCAUAAGCGGG
RNAcentral lists this long non-coding RNA (461 nucleotides) under Androctonus crassicauda. The record is from RNAcentral. Lineage: Eukaryota; Metazoa; Arthropoda; Arachnida; Scorpiones; Buthidae.